AUGUUGAAGGUUUUUGAGCAAUUUCACUCAUUUGUUAGGGGAGGUAUGGAGGCGAUCAAGAUGACAAUGUUUGCCCUUCAGCCAAAAUAGGUUGGAGGCACCAGGGUCAACGACUUUUGCCCGAUCAGUUUGAUCCACUCCGUCAAAUUGAUCGCAAAAGUGCUCUCCCUUAGGUUGUCCAAGGUCAUCGACAAGAUCAUCUCGCUGGCCCAGUCCGCUUUCCUCAAGACCAAGUGCAUCCAUGAUAGUUUUCUCUAUGUUAAAAACAUCAUUCAAGCUCUACGCCGAAGAAAAAAAUUGGCUCUUUUAUUAAAGUUGUUCAUUGCUAGGACUUUUGACUUCGUCUCCUAG
Molecule: ribosomal RNA, 351 nt
Filed under: Triticum aestivum (bread wheat)
Lineage: Eukaryota; Viridiplantae; Streptophyta; Magnoliopsida; Poales; Poaceae
Description: partial small subunit ribosomal RNA
Source: RNAcentral